This 22-nucleotide unclassified non-coding RNA is filed under the name Mus musculus (house mouse). RNAcentral's name for it is "oocyte_clustered_small_RNA10831". Lineage: Eukaryota; Metazoa; Chordata; Mammalia; Rodentia; Muridae. The record is from RNAcentral.
UUAUAUGCCCCAGUAAAGUGGA